CGUCCCAUUUCGCCUUUCGUAGUCCCUUCUUGGGGCGACGCGGGGUGAACCAUGAAGUAAUCUUUGUGUCCCACUCCCCUCACAUUCGGUUGUGCUCGUGGAUUGGUCCCCAGGGUAUUCGCUUGAUCUCUUGGAUGCGGUGCAUUAUACACGGGCAAGAGGACUCGCGUCCUCUGUCUGCCCGAACAAAAGCCUUCAUCGCUAAGUUGCGAGCGAUUGCGAUCCCCGUUUAGAGCCUUCGGGCGAGUCCGUGUAUUGCUUCGUU
Molecule: unclassified non-coding RNA, 265 nt
Filed under: Plagiobothrys fulvus var. campestris
Lineage: Eukaryota; Viridiplantae; Streptophyta; Magnoliopsida; Boraginales; Boraginaceae
Description: partial external transcribed spacer
Source: RNAcentral